GACGAACGCUGGCGGCGUGCCUAAUACAUGCAAGUCGAACGCUUCUUUCCUCCCGAGUGCUUGCACUCAAUUGGAAAGAGGAGUGGCGGACGGGUGAGUAACACGUGGGUAACCUACCCAUCAGCGGGGGAUAACACUUGGAAACAGGUGCUAAUACCGCAUAACAGUUUAUGCCGCAUGGCAUAAGAGUGCAAGGCGCUUUCGGGGGUCGCUGAUGGAUGGACCCGCGGGGCAUUAGCUAGUUGGUGAGGUAACGGCUCACCAAGGCCACGAUGCAUAGCCGACCUGAUAGGGUGAUCGGCCACACUGGCACUGAGACACGGCCCAGACUCCUACGGGAGGCAGCAGUAGGGAAUCUUCGGCAAUGGACGAAAGUCUGACCGAGCAACGCCGCGUGAGUGAAGAAGGUUUUCGGAUCGUAAAACUCUGUUGUUAGAGAAGAACAAGGACGUUAGUAACUGAACGUCCCCUGACGGUAUCUAACCAGAAAGCCACGGCUAACUACGUG
Molecule: ribosomal RNA, 508 nt
Filed under: uncultured bacterium
Lineage: Bacteria
Description: partial 16S ribosomal RNA
Rfam family: Bacterial small subunit ribosomal RNA
Source: RNAcentral